AGUUGGUGCAAAAGUAAUUGCGGUUUUUGCCAUCAAAAAUGGCAAAAACCACAGUUACUUUUGUACCAA
RNAcentral lists this microRNA precursor (69 nucleotides) under Colobus angolensis palliatus. RNAcentral's name for it is "miRNA (ENSCANG00000000993.1)". Lineage: Eukaryota; Metazoa; Chordata; Mammalia; Primates; Cercopithecidae. The record is from RNAcentral.